This 424-nucleotide ribosomal RNA is filed under the name uncultured prokaryote. Its description in RNAcentral is "bacterial SSU rRNA". It matches the Rfam family "Bacterial small subunit ribosomal RNA", at positions 355 to 796 of the family's 1533-position model. The record is from RNAcentral.
UGGGGAAUAUUGGACAAUGGGCGCAAGCCUGAUCCAGCCAUGCCGCGUGAGUGAUGAAGGUUUUAGGAUUGUAAAGCUCUUUCGAUGGGGAAGAUAAUGACGGUACCCAUAAAAGAAGUCCCGGCUAACUCCGUGCCAGCAGCCGCGGUAAUACGGAGGGGGCAAGCGUUGCUCGGAUUCACUGGGCGUAAAGCGACCGCAGGUGGUCUAUCAAGUCAGAUGUGAAAGCCCUGGGCUCAACCCAGGAACUGCAUUUGAAACUAGUAGACUAGAGUUGUUCAGAGGAAGGCGGAAUUACCAGUGUAGAGGUGAAAUUCGUAGAUAUUGGUAGGAACACCGAAGAUGAAGAUAGCUUUCUGGGAACAUACUGACACUCAGGGUCGAAAGCGUGGGGAGCAAACAGGAUUAGAUACCCCCGUAGUCC